RNAcentral lists this ribosomal RNA (1809 nucleotides) under insect metagenome. RNAcentral describes it as "bacterial LSU rRNA". It matches the Rfam family "Bacterial large subunit ribosomal RNA", at positions 165 to 2018 of the family's 2925-position model. The record is from RNAcentral.
UCUAGCGACCUCCACGAACCAGGGGAACUGAAACAUCUAAGUACCCUGAGGAAAAGAAAUCAACCGAGAUUCCCUUAGUAGUGGCGAGCGAACGGGGACUAGCCCUUAAGUGGCUUUGAGAUUAGCGGAACGCUCUGGAAAGUGCGGCCAUAGUGGGUGAUAGCCCUGUACGCGAAAAUCUCUUAGUCAUGAAAUCGAGUAGGACGGAGCACGAGAAACUUUGUCUGAAUAUGGGGGGACCAUCCUCCAAGGCUAAAUACUACUGACUGACCGAUAGUGAACUAGUACCGUGAGGGAAAGGCGAAAAGAACCCCGGAGAGGGGAGUGAAAUAGAUCCUGAAACCGUAUGCGUACAAGCAGUGGGAGCCCACUUUGUUGGGUGACUGCGUACCUUUUGUAUAAUGGGUCAGCGACUUAUUUUCAGUNGCGAGCUUAACCGAAUAGGGGAGGCGUAGCGAAAGCGAGUCUUAAUAGGGCGUCUAGUCGCUGGGAAUAGACCCGAAACCGGGCGAUCUAUCCAUGGGCAGGUUGAAGGUUGGGUAACACUAACUGGAGGACCGAACCGACUACCGUUGAAAAGUUAGCGGAUGACCUGUGGAUCGGAGUGAAAGGCUAAUCAAGCUCGGAGAUAGCUGGUUCUCCUCGAAAGCUAUUUAGGUAGCGCCUCAUGUAUCACUGUAGGGGGUAGAGCACUGUUUCGGCUAGGGGGUCAUCCCGACUUACCAAACCGAUGCAAACUCCGAAUACCUACAAGUGCCGAGCAUGGGAGACACACGGCGGGUGCUAACGUCCGUCGUGAAAAGGGAAACAACCCAGACCGUCAGCUAAGGUCCCAAAGUUAUGGUUAAGUGGGAAACGAUGUGGGAAGGCUUAGACAGCUAGGAGGUUGGCUUAGAAGCAGCCACCCUUUAAAGAAAGCGUAAUAGCUCACUAGUCGAGUCGGCCUGCGCGGAAGAUGUAACGGGGCUCAAACCAUACACCGAAGCUACGGGUAUCACGUAAGUGAUGCGGUAGAGGAGCGUUCUGUAAGCCUGUGAAGGUGAGUUGAGAAGCUUGCUGGAGGUAUCAGAAGUGCGAAUGCUGACAUGAGUAACGAUAAUGGGUGUGAAAAACACCCACGCCGAAAGACCAAGGUUUCCUGCGCAACGUUAAUCGACGCAGGGUUAGUCGGUCCCUAAGGCGAGGCUGAAAAGCGUAGUCGAUGGAAAACAGGUUAAUAUUCCUGUACUUCUGGUUAUUGCGAUGGAGGGACGGAGAAGGCUAGGCCAGCUUGGCGUUGGUUGUCCAAGUUUAAGGUGGUAGGCUGNNAUCUUAGGUAAAUCCGGGAUUCUAAGGCCGAGAGCUGAUGACGAGUUAUCUUUUAGAUGACGAAGUGGUUGAUGCCAUGCUUCCAAGAAAAGCUUCUAAGCUUCAGGUAACCAGGAACCGUACCCCAAACCGACACAGGUGGUUGGGUAGAGAAUACCAAGGCGNUNGAGNGAACUCGUGGUGAAGGAACUNGGCAAAAUGNCNCCGUAACUUCGGNAGAAGGNGCGCCNGUGAGGGUGAAGGACUUGCUCCGUAAGCUCAUGCCGGUCGAAGAUACCAGGCCGCUGCGACUGUUUAUNAAAAACACAGCACUCUGCAAACACGAAAGUGGACGUAUAGGGUGUGACGCCUGCCCGGUGCUGGAAGNUUAANUGANGNNGUGNNAGCAUCUNGAUNGAAGNCCCAGUAAACGGCGGCCGUAACAAUAACGGUCCUAAGGUAGCGAAAUUCCUUGUCGGGUAAGUUCCGACCCGCACGAAAGGCGUAACGAUUUGGGCACUG